Molecule: long non-coding RNA, 35319 nt
Filed under: Homo sapiens (human)
Lineage: Eukaryota; Metazoa; Chordata; Mammalia; Primates; Hominidae
Description: non-protein coding lnc-CHSY1-5:12
Source: RNAcentral
AGAGCAAGGCCGCCGCCAGCUCUCCCAGGAACCGUCGCGAGGCGUCCCCUCGGCGGCCGCCUCAGUUUCCCUGGCCGUAAAACGCGGGCGAUGGCGCUCGAUGCCCCGGGAGACGCCGGGGUCCGCGGGCCCUUCCGGCACCGGGUCCUCCUUCAGGUUCGGGCACCCGGCUGCCUCCACGCGGGGCGAGCGCGGCGAUGGGAUCGGUCCGUGCUGCGCUCAGCCCCGCUUUCGCUAUCCCUCUGCUCCAGGGGCAGCAAAAUCAGCAGAUGAGCCCCCAGCGCGCCUGCGGCCCACACACUGCGGCCGUAACAGUUAAACAGACGGGGAACAUUCAUGUGCGUAGAGCUCUUCACGGGGCGAUACAGAAAUGUGUCGUUCUAAAGCGUUAACGACCUGCAAUUUGCAUAUCCUCCAACACAUGGAUUUUACUGAUUCAAUUAUGGAUGUGUGCAAAGAAUCUGCUGCUCGGCGUCACCAGGCUGCUGAGGCUAAUACAGAAACGCAGACCAUAAAAAAGAUCUGCGUCCACGCUGCAGGCGGGCCUCACGCUGAGCUCCCCGUGUCGACCCGGGGACAAAGCCUGCUCAGGAAGAGCAGAGGGUUCCACGCCCUGCAGGACCAGCGCCCUGGGCCCCUCUCCUGGAAAGUUAUGACUCGCACGUUCCCAGGAUUUAGCGCACAUCUCCCCCACCCUCACUGCCAUUUCACAGAACCGGGGCAGCCGCAGGGCUCCUGCAGGACCUCCCGGACGCCGCGGGGCCGUGUUCCCUUGAGCGGCUUCUUGGGUCCCUGGUUGGAGAGGGGACCACCGAGCAGCUUCGCUCUGCUCCUGGGAGGCUACUUCUGCCACUGGACGACUUUCCAAAAGGGGCGUGGUGUCCUCAGUGCUGAGAGAGCCCCGCGACGGCGGUGCAGCUCCUCCAGGGCGCGCAGCCCCGCCACCUGGCGCCACCGCGAGGGAGCGCAGGCCCAGGGCCCGGGCAGACGCUGGAGGGGACGCGGCAGGUGAAGAUGGGGCACCUCCACUUCCCUUCUAAAGGAGCCUGGGAAUAGGCUAGGAAAUGUCCCCACUGUAGAAGACAGCAGGAACAUCUGACACGCGGAUAACCUGUGCUGAGCUCGUUAUAUUCCCAGCAUUUAAUUCUAGCCAUUAGGCAUGCGUUAGCCACAACUUCGCAUAGGAAGGUUAUUGCAGCUAUAUGGGAACACUUUCAGUUUCCCAAGUUAAAACAUGAAAUUGCACAUCAUCAUUUGGAUCCCCAAAGAGGAAAAGAAAAAUUCACAACCUGCCAGUGAAAUACUCAGGCCACUUGGAUGAAGACCGAGGUCCUCCAUAGAAUCCAGGUGUUAUUUACUAACUAAUCAGAAAUUAAUAUCAAAAUAGGACUUAAAAAUAACAAGGCUGUGUUAUUACAGCAGUCUUUCCAGUUGUGUACGCUUUACUAAUCUAAAUUGGGUAACAGAACUGGAGAAAAGGAAGACUACACAGACUUAUCAUAAGCUGUUAGUGAACGUGAUAGAAAUGCGUAAUUUGUUAAAGCGAAUUACAGCUCUGAUUUGUCAAAUGAGGAGGUGAAUUAUCCUAGGAUUUGCUAUGCUGUUGUGGCGUUAGAAGAUUGGAUCUUUAGCAGCAAAGGUAACCUCAACAAUAUUUUCUGCUUAAGAAAGUGCCUUGGUUAAGGUAGACCGUGAUAUCGUCUUUGACUAAGCUCUCUGGGCUAUUGAUUCUGUCAUAUUCCAAAGGCAGUAUUGGUUUGAAGCCGAAUCUCACGGUCAAUGUCAACAUGCAAUCCACAAAGACCCUGGCGCCCUUCCACGGUAUGCACUAACCAAAACUUUCUCACUGUGAAAUCCUUUUUUUAAAAACAAGAAAACAAAAAACAAAAACCAAAAAACCUUACUGUGAAUCCUUUCCCAAGGAAUGGUCCCACCUUCACCUCGGAAAGAGGCGUGGCUUGCUCUGUAAGCAGGUCCACCCUGAGGAGACCGCUGGUGCAAGAGCCCUGCUUGCAGAACACACAGGGGGUUUUCCCACAUUCUUACUGGAGUCAGAUUCGGCAAAGCAUUUCAAGCAACUGCUGGACACUUCAAAUACCACUCCCUGUUAACAACGCCCUGAGUAUCUCACUGUCUCCAGGAUCUGGUUUAAAGGGAAACACAGAAAUGGCCAACAGCUCCCUCCCCAGGCAGGACUGCGAUUUCACAGACAACCUAUAGGCAUCCCCAGUCUGGUGAAUAAACAGGAGAGUGAGAGGAAAACAGCAAUCAUUCAACUCCAGUAGAUGUAAAGCCUCCAGAAGAAUGUGUCCCGGGAAGGUCAGAAAUGUCAUUUUUUUCCUCCAGCACAUUUCAUCUGCCACAUUCCGCCGUCCGAUGUUUGAGGAAGGAGCCCCGCCUUUCCUUCAGGGGUUCUUGUCGCCAAGUUUGAUGGUGACAGUUUUCACUUCUGUGUAUUCGGCCAAAGCGUAUUCACCUCUGUGAUCACAGAAAAGAGGAAAAUUCAAAAUGGGUACAUCCCUUAGCCAUUGUGUAGAAACUGUUCUGAGGCUUCAUCAUUCCAUCAGGCCGUUGGAGGCUUAUGCAAAAGGUUAAAAUGUGACGACCUCAUGGAAUAAUAGCCAGGACUAUAACAGCACUAGUAAGUGUCAGUAGCUGCAUAUGUGACUUAAAUGUAAAUAUCAAGGUCUUCUUCUGUGUGAUGCUUUUGAAAUGGCCAGGACUAAGGGUUUCCCUUUAGAGAAUGAAGGGGAUUUUAAAAAAAGUAAAGAGGUGAAUUCCCUGGGGUGGCAAUAGAGAGCAAAACGAGAGAGCCUGGUGGACGGUGGGGUGUCUGUGAACGAGGGAGGGGCAGAAAUUACACUGGGUUGAUAACUUUUAGAUGGCAAUUGGGAGCUGCUUGAAGAGGAGACAGAAGAGGCAGAGGCCCAAAGCUAUUGGCUGGGGAUGUGGCCAGAGGACCAGUGGGAAGAACACCAAGGGCCUGAAGCUGGCCUCAGAGUGCACAGCUGGGGACCAGCUGUCAGGCAGUGAGGCCAGCCUAGGGGGCAUGAGAGAAGCAGACGUUAGCACAGAGUGGACAUGGGGAGGCCACAGCUUUUGGGUUCACAUCCUUGGUAUAGUUCCUUUCUUUAAAUCUUGCAGGGCUCAGGUGAUCCUUCCCUGGCACCAUGGGCCGUCUUCAGGGUAGCUUCCCUUCCAAGACCCAAGAGGCAGCUUUGGAGAGAUUUAAAUCCUUCUAAGCGCUUGAUCUGCUGUCAGGUGAAGAAAAAUGUGUGCUUGUUUAGGAAGAGAUGAAGGUAGAGGUGGCCACUGGAGUCUCUGUAGUUAAAAAGACCUGUGACAGAAUCCCAUCUCCUCCCUUAGAUCAAUGGUUCUCAAAGUGUGGUCCCCAGACCAGCAGCAUCAGCCUCACCUCUGAACUUGCUAGAAAUGUAGAUUCUCAGGCCUCCCCCAGCCCUACUAUCGUAGGCAGAAUAAGGAUCUCCCCAGGUAUCCAAAAUUGGAUCCCCCAAACCUGUGAAUAUGUUGGGCUACAGAGUGAAGAAUUAAUGUUGCAGAUGGAAUUCAAGUUACUAAUCAAUUGACUUUAAAAGAGGGAGACUCUCCUGGAUCAUCCAGGCAGACCCAGUGUAAUCACAAGGGUCCCCAAAACUGGCAGAAGAAGAGAGGCAGAGCAAAAUGAGAUUAUAGAAACAGGUUCAGAGAGCAGCAGUGCUGGCUUUGAAGAUGGAGGAUGGGGCCACCAGCCUAGGAAUGCGAGCAGCCUCUAGAGGAUGGAAAAGGCAAGGAAGUAGAUUCUCUCCUGAGAACCUCCAAAAAGGAAUGAAGCCCUUGAUUUUAGCUCAGGGAGACCUGUGUCAGAUUUUUAUCCUACAGAACUAUAAGAUAAUAGAUUUAUGUUAUUUAAGCCACUGAUGUUAUGGUAACUUCUUGCAGGAGCAAUAAAAGACUAAUAAACUUACUGAAUCAGAAACUCUAUGGUGGGGCCCAGACAUCUGUAUUUUAACAAGUCCUCCAAGUGAUUCUGAUGCAUACUCAAGUUGGAGAACCACUGGCUUAGAACUAUGUUGCUUAGGUAAGUUCUUUGCCUUCCCUGAGCCUCAACUUCAUCAACUAUCAAAUAGGAAAACCAUCACCUCCUUGUAAUUAUAACAAUUACAGAUAAUCAUGUAGAGCCCCUACUAUGUGUUAGGCAGAAAAUGAAUGGUAGGUGCCAUUGAGAUUUUUAGGUCAUUUCCUAAAACAAAUAGUUCCAGAACCCAUGAAAAUAAGUGAAUUAUUUUAUAAUCUUUCCUAAAUAAAACACAAAACAUAAAAGCCAUAAACAGAAUGCUAAAUUCUAUUUUUGUAGAGCAGAGACUCCAUUAAAAACUCCCAAAUGACAAACUAGAAAAAAAAUUUACAACACUGUGUGAAAAUCAGAGUGUGAUUUUCCUUAAUAUACAAAGAGCUCUUGCAAACCAACAAGAAAAACACAAAUACCCAAAUGGAAAAAUCAACAAAGGACAGGAAUAGUUAGUUUUCAGAAAAAGAAAUAUGAAUUACCAAUAAGUGUGAAAAUGGUGCUCAAUGCCAUCAUGAUUAAAGAAAUGUAACCAAAACAGUGGUGAGCCCAUUUUUCAUGUGGCAGAUUACUCAAUUUUAGUAAUUUAUUCUGAAAACAAUCUCCCACAAGUGUAUACUUCCACUUGUAUGCACAAGGAAGUACAUCAGCAUGGUUUGUAAUAGCAGAACCCCUUGGAAAUACACAAAAGUUCCUCAUGGGAGAUCAUCAAUAAAAAGAACGGAAGGAUAUCCAAAACCCAGUCUCAAUAACGAAAUGUAGCUUGCUCCCAUUUCAUUUGAAAACAGAAAAGAACACACAUAUAUAAAUCCAUUGUAUGCAAAUAAAAUGCACAAUACACUCUAAAAGUGAGAAUACAAUGUUGCAUUGUAAAAAUUCAAAGCCAAUAAUUAUUUAUCAAGUUAGUAAAGAAAAGAAACGCAAACAAAGUGAUGAAAUCAGAUUGAAUUAACACAUAACUAACACAUGCAGUAGGAUUACAGCAUUCCUUUAAGAAUCAAUACAGAGCUCCUCUCAUUCUUUCAUUUCUGAAGUUGCUGUCCUGGUUCAAAUUCUUGCUGCUCUUAUUCAACCCAGUGGGACAUCUCCUCAAUGGAUUCUCAGCCAGUCUCAACCACUUUGCAGUUCAAAGCUAUCCAGGAGCCCAGCCUUACUCCUGUUAAACCUCACCAGAAUGUCAGGAGGCACAGGGACUGGUGGCUGUGUUGUUCACUGCAGUAUGCUCAGAGCCUAGCAUCAUGCCUGGUGAAUCAAAGAUGCUCAAGAAGUAUUUGCCAAGUGAACAAAAGAAUGAAUGAGCAAAUGAAUGAUGGAACAACGUUUACCUCUAACAAAUGGGACUGAAGGUCAGGGAGGGAAGCCUUGACUUUCCAUAUCUCUAUUGCGUAGAUUUUUUGGUUACUAUAUCAUUUUUAUUCAGAAGAAAGGCUCCCAGGAGGAAGAGGAAUUUCAGGCUCCAUCCUGAGACCCGCACAGAAACAGCUCCCGGAGGGGCCCGUGGGUGGGCGGCCAGAAGCCAGCCCAGUCCAGGUGGCCGGGGACGGGGAAAACCAUGGAAUCCCCCGCACGAUGCUCCAGCAUUAAAAAAGGGGAACUUCUUGCAACAUGAAGACAUUAAUUAGAGACAACUGAAGACAGAAAUUGGUUUUCCAGGCAGUUUCUAGGCUCCUUGUGAAUUAUUUUUAAAUAUUUUAUCAAAAGCCUUGAGAAAAUAUAGGCCAAGGGCCUAAAAAACAGACAUUCAAAAAAGUCCCGAUGGAGGCUAACUGGCAGGAGGACACAUGGGCUGUGUCCAGUGAGUCCUCACCAAGCCCUGCUCUGUGCCAGGCGAGGGGGUGUUAAGGAGCCAAAAGCACUGUUAGGGUGGCAAGAGGGAAGGUUGCAAUGAGGGUGAAUCACCAGUGCAAAGCAGUACACACCAGGGAUUGGGGGCCCUGCAGCUUCUACGCCCAGGGACAUUUGCUUCGGGGACUGGAGUCCUUGCUGUGGCGUGAGGCUGUGUCUGGCGUCUGGGAGGAGGACUGUGUGGGGUCUGGGUUCCCCAGCCCUAAUGACCCAGCUGGUUGAAGGCAGCAGAUGAAAGGAGACAAAUGACCACGCAAACCCUGGGUGGCCUCAUGAACAGGUGGCGGACAAGGGUGAUCCCUGUUGAGCAAGGUCCUGCACUGCGGUGGGUCCAAGGACUAAGCUGCCAGCAUUCAUUUCUGACUGUCACUUACCAGCUUCCUGUGCCAUUUUCUCAUCUGAAAACAGCUGGACCCAUCUCAUGGAUGGGCGUGAGGAUGGUAUGAAGGAACAGGCAUAGAGAGCUCAACCGAGCCUGCUGCAGAGUCUGUGCUCAGCAAAUCCCAGCUGUUGCCAGUACUGUUGCUGUUGGAGGGCCCAAGAGGGGACCCUGGUGACCCCAGCCCUGGCUGCCUGUCCCUGGAGGGGCAGGUGUAAGAAGUGAUGAAGCAGGGGCUCACAGAACUCAAAUGCAAACAGGCCACUAGAGGGAGGAAAUGCAAUUUCUGCAAAGGGGUUUCAUGGCCAACAAUUACUGAUGUCCGCUGAAGGCGAAGCCAGCCACAGGGAUAAGGGGGAAGGCUAAUGGACAGGCUUCACUCACAAGUGCAGACGCCUUGGAGUAUUUGCUGAGAGUCAGGGAUGGACUACAAAGCAGGACUGAGGUGGGAGGGGGACAGGACCCCAAUUCCACAUAGACUGGUCAAGAACAUCUGUUUGGGGAUGGAAGCCAGGCCCAUCCCUUCACAGCAUCUUUAAGAAUCUCAAAAGAGAGCCACACAAAGGCCCCAACCAAGGCCCAAGGUGAGGGGAAGCGUUUGAGUCUGUUCCCGCUGGAAGAAGUGCAAACAAGGGACUACAUUUGUAUAUAAAUAGGACAGACUAGUGAAAUAAAAGGAAGAGUUUGGGUCCCUAGAGAUGUCCCAGGAACCUGGGGUGUUGUCACAGAUGGUUCCUUGGGAACACUGAUCCUACAAAAUGUUUGUCCACACAGGCUAAUAAAAUCCUGAGCUGGGGAGAGAAGACAGUGUCCGGCUGGAAACCACACAUCUCCACUCCCGGGUUGCUCUAGCCAGCUCUGGGUGUGGGCCAGACGCAAGAAGUUCCACCCAUUAAUCUAAACCUAGGGAACUCAUUUUCCCAGCAGGCAGGACAAAAAAGGAAGUGUGGAGGGGUUUGCACACACAGUGGAGGGGUUUGCAGUGGGUUUGCACACACACGAAGGGGUUUGCAGUGGGUUUACACACACGGAGGAGUUUGCACACACAUGUGGAGGGGUUUGCAGUGGGUUUGCACACACUGGGGUUUGCAGUGGGUUCACACACUGAGGAGUUUGCACACACAUGUGGAGGGGUUUGCAGUGGGUUUGCACACACAGUGGAGGGGUUUCCAGUGGGUUUGCACACACACAAAGGGGUUUGCAGUGGGUUUACAUGCACACGUGGAGGGUUUGCAGUGGGUUUACACACACGGAGGAGUUUGCAGUGGGUUCACACACUGAGGAGUUUGCACACACAUGUGGAGGGGUUUGCAGUGGGUUUGCACACACACGGAGGGGUUUGCAGUGGGUUUACAUGCACGCGUGGAGGGUUUGCAGUGGGUUUGCACGCGCAUGGAGGGGUUUGCAGUGGGUUUGCACACGCAUGUGGAGGGAUUUGCAGUAGGCUUGCAUAUACUGAGAGGGCCGCAGAGGCCCAGCAGGAGGUGUUGUCAUAUGCCUCCUGGGAGGAGGUCCCCUACUAGGCUCAGAAAAAAGGACCCAGCAGGUAGGAGCCUUACCUGGGUCAGCCUUACCUGUCUUCACUGCUGUGAGUGGGGAGUUGUGUGAAUAAUGACACCCCACAUCUGGCAAAAGUACACUUUUUCAGUUCUGCCUGUGUCCCCGUCCAGGGAGCUUUUGUCAAAUAUCCACUGAAUGUCCCCAGCAUGAUGGCUGCUGGGCAGACACAAAAGCCGAGGCCUGGAGGGGGGCAGGCUGAGGAUGUAAGUGGGAAGGGUGGGCUGGAGAGAGGAAGGGAUGGGUCCCCACCAACCCUAGAGGGACACAGCUGGCCCAGACAGAGCGGCGGUGUGGGGGGGACGGGGUGUCAGCAGAUUGGAGCCUGUGUCACUGCCUGCAAAUCUAGUGGAUCUAGUGUUCAGCCCACGGCAGGCUCAGAAUGAUGGAAACACUUACAGUUCUCUGCCAUUUCCUGACAUUUUAAAGCCACCAAAUGGAGCCUGUGCAUAGAGGGCGUUGUAGCAGUUGAUCCUAGAAAAGAAUGGAAGAAAGCUCAGAGUCAUCUGGAGAAGACCCCCUGGCUCCUGGCACUGCAGCCACUUAGCCCCCAGUGCAGGGCAUUGUCUAAUAAACAGUCUUUUGCCAAAGCUUCCUUGAUGAAAACACAGGGUGCUCUCAACUUUUGUCUUCUCAUUCUUCUCAUCAGCAACUAAAAUUUGGAAAUCCUCAAGUACAGAGUGUGUUUCAUUGGGAUAGGAAUGAAAUGAUAAGGGGAGAAAAAAGAAGAGAGGGCCAGGCAUGAUGACUUAUGCCUGUAAUCCCAGCACUUCGGGAGGCUGAGAUGGAUGGAUCACCUGAGGUCAGGAGUUCAAGACUAGCCUGACCAACAUGGUGAAACCCCAUCUCUACUAAAAAUACAAAAAUUAGCUGGGCGUGGUGGCGUGCACCUGUAGUCCCAGCUACUGGGGAGGCUGAGGCAGGAGAAUUGCUUGAACCUGGGAGGUGGAGGUUGCAGUGAGCCGAGAGUGUGCCACUGCACUCCUGCCUGGGGGAAAGAGCAAGACUCCAUCUCAAAAAAAAAAAAAAAAAAAAAAGAAAGAAAGAAAGAAAAAGAAAAAUCAGGGUGUAGAGGAAUAAGAAUUAGCUUUGAAAUGAGACAGAACUGACCCCAAAGUUCUCCUGCUUCCUGGUUAUAUGAUUCUGGGCUUAUUGCUCAACCUCUCUGAGCCUCAAUUCAUUAAUCUUUAAUAUGGGGAUCACAAAACAUAAUCUGCAGAAUUACUGAUGAGGCAGAGACUAGUAUCCACAUUUUGCAGAUGGGCAUGAACUGCUUUUAGAAUCAGAAUGGAAAAUAAAGUUGGAGGGGCAGUACAGCACAGGGGCCACAGGCACAGGUACUGGAGCCCUCUCGGCCAUCUGCUAGCUGUGUGACCCUGGGCAAGUCACUUCAUCUCUCUGUGCCUCAAUUUUCUCAUCUCUGAAAUGGAGACAUAAUGGCAGCUACCUCAGAAGAUGGUCAUGAGGAUGGAAGGAAGCACUGAGACAGGGCUUGGUAUAUAAUAUACAAUGUAAACAAUGAGAAACUCUCAGUUAAUAGAAGAAUAAUGAACUUAGCAAGAAGCAACUCAGGAGAGCUGAAAUACACACACAGUCAACUCACCAGACCGUUCCAGACUCUAAGGCAGAAGCCAACUUCAGGGCUUUGUCGAGAUUUUUUGUGAACACGGCUGCUGUGAGUCCAUAGUCGGUGCUAUUCGCUCUUUUUAUCACUUCUUCGAUACUUUUGAACUUCAGUAUUGGUUGCACUGGCCCGAAAAUCUAUGAUUAAUUGCAAGAAUGGCAAUGAGAGGCAUGACUGAAUGGAAAUGCAUGCUGUGAACAAGCAUUUCCUUCUCUUUACAUGUUUUUCAUAUGCCCAGAGCACACACAUGCCUGAAAAACGAUGAUUAGAGAAGAAAGAACGUCCAAACAUUGCUUCAGCUGCAUUGCCAUUGGAGACUGAAGGGAAGGAUUAACAUGAAACAAAAAUAAAAAAUAAUAACAAAAAAUAUAUGUUGUGUUUAAGAUGUCUUGUUGUCAUCAGGGUUUCCGAGAAACCCAGCCAGAGAGCCUUGGAGUAACCCAUAGAUGCACAGAACACAAAACCUUUAGGUAACUUUUUUCGGAGUUGUCCUGAAGGAUAUCUGCAGGCACUUUGUAAGACUGUGCUCCUACCUCUUGGAGCUGUGUUUUCUACCAAGGAAGACACCCUAGAACGUUUCCAUAAUAACUACCAGGGGAAGGAAUGACACAAUAUUCACCACAGUUUGUGACACAGCAAAGAAAAGGAAAUGGAAGAACUAAGGCUUGAACAUUUAAAGGUGAUUUUGAAGGGAGCUUGUAAUUGAUUCAAUAUUAGACAUAAUUAUAAGCCGGCAGGAUGGUGCCUGGCCUGCCAAAAUACCUUCCGGGUUCCCCAGGACCUCUCGUCACAGGGAUGUUUAAGGAGCUGAGCUUCAUGCCAUCACGGCACAUAACAAUCUCAAGGAAGACGCCUCUGAAAUACCUGCCCCAGAAAGCCCUUGGCAGGGACUCAUCCUUUUAUGUGCCCCAAAAUACCACCUCCAGGGUCUAACCUCCUGGGAUCCAGCUCUCCUCUUACAAAUGCUGUGUGGGAACCAGUUCCCGUCUAGUGUAACAGUGGAGUUGAAAGAGAAAGAUUUACACUCUUAUGGGAGUGGGGGAGUCUCCUUAAUUUCCCUCAUUUUCAAGACGUCCGUGGUGGAAAAUGUCAAUAAAAAUUCCAGCUGUGACAUGUUCCUUGAGUGAACACUUGAAAUUCAGUCUAGGGGCACUGAAGGCGGCUUUGGGCCCUGAAUCCACAGGUUCUUGAACUGAUUCCUGGCAAAACCCACAGGUGGCAACAGUUCUCCACCUGCGGCUGCAUGACUGACUCGGGGACCGGUUGUGUUAGAAAAUCAGAGAGGGCUUGCUGCUCCCAGAGAGGGUGAGCCAUGAGUGAAAACUAGCUAGAACAAACAAGGUACCUGCUGUAUCAUGCUUGGAGUUCGCCAGAGGCAGGACAAAACGGCUUCCCUAGGGACCCCAAAGGAGAGGGGAAAGACCACACAGAAAAAACAACAACGACAACAACAGCAACAAAAACAAAAAAACACUCAGAUCACAAGGAUUUCUGGGAUCCCUGGGCCCUAGGGAAGGACUCGUGUUUGAAAGGCCCCGCAAGUCGUAGCCUUGCCACAGCCCCCUUGUACCUCCUCUUUGGCAAUCCGCAUGUUGUCUGUGACUUCUGAGAAGACAGUGGGUUUGAUGAAGAGCCCCUUGUCUUCCAUGGCUGAGCCCCCGCAUUCCAGCUUGGCCCCUUCCUUCUUCCCACUCUCGAUCAGCUCUAAGAUUUUGUCGAACUGCUUUUGAUCAAUCUGCAAGACACAAACAAGAAGUACAGCCUGGCUUCCUUCUGGGCAGUGGCUGCCAUCUCAUGUUUUCAGUGGCCUUCAACAUGAUCAGCCAUCCUCCCUCUGCAUGUUCUUGUCAAGCCAUGAUCCAUGUAACUAAUGAGCCUUGCAGGCAAAUAUUCCUCUGAUGCACAGAGCUGGGCUCUUUGGAGCAGGGGAGAGAUGGGGAGAUAGACUAGUCUCAUCCUCUGGAGGUUUGGGACAUAUUUACACUUCUAUCUCCCUUUUCCAUGCAGCAAAGUUAGUCCAUGAGUGACACAGGUCUGAAGUGGUCACAGUCUUUCUUCUCCCAACUCUUUACAUUCUACUCAGGUUGCCAAAUUUAGCAAAUAAAAAUACGGGAUGCCCAGUGAAUCUGAAUUUCAGAAAAAUGACACAUAAUUUUUUUUAGUAUGUCCCAAAACAAUAUUUGGGAUAUACUUAAGCUAAAAGUGCAUUUACUGUUUAUCUGAAAUUCAUGUUUACCUGGGUGCCAUGUAUCACCUGGCAACCCUGUGCCCUGCUCAGUUGGCACCGUGAAUCAGGGUAAUAGUUACUGGAAUUCUCCUGUCAUGGUGCAGAGAAGCGAGAAGAAAAGCUAACCACCUUACUCAACACCCCUGGGGACAAAGCAGAAUGAGCCUCCAGGUGGGGUGGCAGGGCUGCUCCUUGGUUGGUGGUGGGAACAGCUCAUGAGAAAGACUCUCCCUUUUGCUAUCUUGUCUAGACGUCUCCUUGGCUGGAGUUUGCCCUGUGCCACCAGCCUGACCCACAGCUUGUGAACACGCUACUGAGCAGUUGUCAAAAGCGCACCCUUUUGGGAGACUGCUCAAGAGGGAAAAUGCUCUUUCUGCCCCCUCCACUGGUCCUUCUUCCUGAAAUCUAUGGGAAUCUUGUCCUUUAUCAUGAUCUGUGGCUGGUCUCCCUCCUCUUUGGCUGGGAGAGACAAAGCUUUACUAGGUUUACUUUAGCUGGGAUUUUUAGAUGGGAAAACUGGUUUCAUUCCAAUGAUCAUAAACAGAAAAAGAAGCAAACCCAGUGGUGCAAUUGGAUGACGGUCUGUCCUGGAGGAGCAGGAGAGAGGGCAUAAACCGUGCAUGCCACUUGACCAAUCAUCUCAUGAAAUAUGGACCCAGUUUAAAAAUACUAACUCAGAUCCAUACCUCACACUUUAUACCAGGCCAAACUCCAAACCCAGUUUAAAAAUACUGACUCAGAUCCAUACCUCACACCUUAUACCAGGCCAAACUCCAAACCCAGUUUAAAAAUACUAACUCAGAUCCAUACCUCACACCUUAUACCAGGCCAAACUCCAAACCCAGUUUAAAAAUACUAACUCAGAUCCAUACCUCACACUUUAUACCAGGCCAAACUCCAAAUAGAUCAAAGAUAUAACCAGGAAAAACAAAACCAUAAAAGUUUUAUAUGUGGGAGACUUAUCCUGCAAACUUGGAGUGCCUUCUAAUGACUCAAAAUGCAGAAGCCAAAAAAGAAAAGAUGUAUAAUUUUGAGUAUGUAAAAAAAAUGGGGUGGGGGCAAAAUUAUCAUAACAAAGAGCAAAACAACAAACUUGGAAAAAAUAUUAACAAGUCAUAUUCAUAGAAAGCUAAUCUCUCUACUAUGUAUGUAAAGAGGUCUUAGAAGUGAUAAGAAAAAUGCCUAACAGCUUGCAAGAAAAAUACGCAAAGCACAUUUGAUAAUAAAGGAAAUACAAACGGUUUUUAAAUAUAUAAUAAGAUGUUCUACCUUGCUUAUUAUAAGCGGUAGAUGCAUAUUAAAAUGAAACAAGAUAGCAUUUUUAACUCUCCUAUGGGCAAAAAUCCAUAUUCUGUUGGAAAGGGUAAAGAAACAGACAAACUUCUAGAAUGUUAGUAGGAAUACACGUUGGUUCAGCCUCUAUGGAAGGUAAUUCAGCAACACUUAAGGAAAUUAGAAAUGUGUUCCCACUUAGCAACCCACUUUGGGAAAGCUGUCCCAGGGAUUUCCUUGUGUGUGUGUGAAAUCACAUACUCUGAGGCCUUGUGUGUGACUGCACAUACCUGCAUGCUAAUCAGAAGAUGUUACUGAAAUUCUGGUGGCUUCAUCCAGCAGAAUUCCAUACACAUGUGAAAAAGAAUCAGGCAGGUUCCCAUGGACUGGUAUAAAGAGCUCUUCCAGUUUUUUUAGGGAACAAUAAACAAAGUGCAAGAUGAUAUACUAUCAUGGAAACUUCCGUGUAAAAAUAACAAAGGCAAUCAGGACUUGCAUUCAUCUGCUUGCAUGCACACGAAAACAUUCUAGAGGGAAACAUGAGGAACUAAGAACUGGGGAUACCGUGGGGAGAAGGGUAAGAACCAGGUGUACAAAGGUGGGGGCGGGAGGGGCGGGAAUCCUUUCACUAUAGACGUUUUUAGGCGUUUUGGGGUUUGACCCGUGUAUGUGUACUCCACUCAAAAAAAGUAACAAAAACAGCUUUGCAACAGAUCCCGGAAGAGCUCAAGGUUCUCUCAACUUCUCUCUGGGUGAACCAAGUCUCAGGUUAACAGUUCCAGAUGCUGCUGAGCUGCUCUUCCCCUCCCUGAGGGGCCAAAAGGGACACAGGGGCUUCGCCCAACCGCAGGUCCUCCCUGGCUGCUGGGCAUAUGCCAUCUGGCAGACCCUGUUUGUCCUGCAGGCAGUGCUGGGUCCCCGUGGAAAACCUACACAUCCAAACUCCACACUCCCUGGAGAGCCCGUAGGAACACAUUGUUUAAAUCUAAUAAUCCUCCAUGAAAUGUCAGCUGGUGCCUUACAGUACAGGAAGAGAGACCUGCCAGGAAGUGAGAUGACGCAGCAGGGCACAACACCAGAAACAGGGAAAUACGGCCCCCACAGGACUGGCUCAAGGCUGUGCUCGGCUCUCUGCCCGGAGGACGCUGCCGGAUCCUGCCCGGCCAGGUGGCCUGCAUAAUGUUUAUGUGCCUCGUUGCUCAGUUGCCAAAUAAACCUGAAUGAUUUUGGAGCAUUCCUGUGAGCGCUAGCCCGGCCGUGGACCCGGAUCUAGGUCAGCUAGCUGUUUUACAGGCAUGAGACAGACAGGACUAUUUAGACAGCUGUAAGUCCUCUCAGAGUAAAAUCUUAUUACCGUAGAUGAAAAAGCACUUUGGAAGAAAAAGAAACCCCAACAGCAUUCUAAAAUAAUAUGCUGAGGUUAGACGGCUUUAGUGAGCUUUCAGAAGGACUUUGAGCGGUGGCAUAAAUGCACUGAUGAAAUCAGCACCCAUUCUGCCUCUAUCUGUUCUCUUGGAAGAAAUCGGUGUAUCUGGCCUCAAAAGUCAAGACUCAGACAUCAGGCAUAAGCCAAGAAAAGAGCCACAGAAAGAGACUUACAAAUAACGACGGGGUAAAAAAGUUUCUUCUGUAUGGGGAUCAGUUCACAUAUUUCCCACUGAUUGUGGAUUAGCUUUAAAACUCACGGCGGAUUCAAUAAUGACUUGUGGUCAUGUUUGCGUUCAGAUCUGAAAUCCAGCCGAGGCCAUUAGACAACCUUGUGUCACUGACCGCUGGGUUUGGGGCACAGGCUGGGCAGGCAAUGACUGAGGAGAAGGAAUGUUAGCCACAAGAAGUGCUUUCUGCCAGGGUCACGUGGCGUCGGAGUGUGUGGACUGGGGCCAGUGGAGGGUGGGCACUGAUGGCCAGAAAUGCAUCCUUCCUCCAUGAGGCCCUCCCUUCUUCCCCAGCCAGGGCAUCCCCACAGGACAGCCUGAUGUCAUGCACAGACACUCACUGCCACCUAGACUGGAGAACCUGUCAUUUAAAGCUUCCUCCUGUUUAAAAAUAAAACCUGCCCAUAAUUGAAUACUUCCUAGGUGCCAUGAAAUUCUCAUAAUAUUCAUUGAUUACUCCCACUCUCCAGAUGAGGAAACUGAGGCAUGGAAGGGUUUUUGUGACUUUCAUAAAACCCAGGGCCAAAUCUGAGCUCAGAUCCACAGCAGCCUCCCCUGUAAACAUGCAGUGCUGUCACAGUAGGGGAAGUGGCAGCCUCCCGGGAUAGACACAAGUGGGUAAGUCACGGACAUGUGACUUGAAAUUUCAUGGCUGGGGCAGGACUUUGGCUAAAAGCAAAGUGAGUGACUGCUGAGCUCCAUUUCAAUAAUGCAUGGGAUGGUCAGGCUGCCCUCUUUUAAAUAUUUAUCCAUCUGCUUCACUUCAUAAUUAGUAAGAAAGUGAUACAGGAUGUGCCGUUUUAAAGAGGAUAUUAAAUCUCGUGGUUAUGAUCAUUUUCAUCCUGUCCUUGGCUUCCCAAACUCAUCCUCCAGAGACAUGUUCCUACUGCCUGGAGAUACAUUCUCCUGCCCCAGGCUCUCUCCGUCUGGGAUUGUUUGAUUUCUGAUGGUUCACCUUGUCCUGUAACCCACGUGGGCUUGAGGGCCUCGGGCUGCGACUGAGACUCCAGGCCACACGCUGCCUGCACUCUGCUGCCUUCAGCCAGCCUACAGCCCCUUUUCUGUAGGGAGGUCAUCCUGGAGAGUGGAGGGUUCAGGCAGAUGGCCUUCUGCCCUGGGAAUAGCGCCCUCCUCCCAUGCCUCAGUGUGUCCUGCCCCCUUUCGUGAGCCCCCGGGACCUGACAGGAUUGUGUUUCUGAUCAGUUUCUAAAGAAAAGAAAGCCUCCUGGGCAGGACAGGUCAGCAUUCCUUUCACGGAGAGGGACCCUGUAGGCGGUUGCCAUGGGACUGCCUGCUUCAGCCCCUAGACAAGCACCAUGGUUUCACACACACCAGGGGGAUUACCUGAGGCCCCUGUUCUGUUUUGACAUCGAAGGGGUCUCCCACGGGCCGUUUCUUGGCAUACUCCACGCUCCGCCUGACAAACUCAGAGUAGACCUGCUCCUCCACGAACACCCUGGAGGCUGCCGUGCAACACUGGCCUUGGUUGAAGAACACUCCCUGAUGGGCACACUCCACUGCCAAGUCCACUGGAGGGGGAGGGGCGAGGGAGGCGGGCAGAGCGAGAGGAAGCGAUUAAGUUGUUAAAGCAGGACUGGUGACAGCUGCAAUUCUAAUUGCCCACACAAGAAAACAGGCCCCAGGAUGGCUGCAUUUCAGAAAUUAAUUUUGUUUGCAGACUUUCCCAAAUAGAGAGGAAGGGAGAAAGGAUUUUGGGGUCCACCAAGUUUGGGGUUAAAUCAAUUCCCUGACUGCAGGACUUCUCAGUACCUUUAAUAUGCUAAUAAGUCCAGAGAGUCAUAGCACCCUCCAUUUCACUUGCCUUUUUCUAGAGGACUCCCCUCCCCUCCCCUUUUUCUAGAGGACUAAUGUUUUAUAGAAUAAACUUCGGUAAUUAUUGAUGUAGGCCCCCUGGCGAGAACUUCUAAAGAAGCCAAAAUGUUCCACCUUGAGUAAAAGAAGGGUCUUAUUAAGUAAGAUAAUAUCAUGUGUGUGACUUAGAAGGGCUGACUAAGUUGCAGAGCUGACAUUGAACUAAAACCAGUUAUUCAAACCAAGCCAGAGGGUAUUUAGAGAAUAAGAUCUUGGGGGACACGCUUAGUGGAUAAGAAUGGUAUUGGGAUGUCAUUUACAUCUACAGAGGGGUUUCUAGUGUUCAACCGUUGGCUGGUUUCAUCACCACCAACCCCCGCACUAUUGCUUUCUUAAGAAAUGCAGCUUUCCUUUGCAUAGAGGCUGGCAGUGGCUCUGGGCAUUGGAAGGUGAUCCGUUCCAAUUCCACAGGGGCUGCUCCAAGGGACUGUGCCCUUGGCUUUGAGAAGGAGGCUGCUCCUAUCUAGCUGAGUCAUUUGUGGAAGUUUCAGUGGCAGCAGGACAGCACCAUAAGGUUUGGGGGUACCUCUCUGCACCCUUGACCCCUGCAGCUGGCUGGGCCAGGUCCCAACUUGGAACUGCCCCUCCUCCGAGAUAACAGACUCAUUUCCUGCUCCUGACGGAGCUAGGGGUGAGGCGAAGGGGCAGGGGAAUGGUGGCUUGUUACCCUUGAUGUCUUGCCUGGGAUGCUGGUUAUGUCAGGAUGUAAUUUGUGGACUGGCACCGCCCUGAUGAGGAGAAGGAGGUGGCUACACAGCAUGUUUUUAUGACCCUCGUAAGUAAAACCAAGCCCCAAACACAAUUAGUCCUGUGCUUUAGCUGCAGUUUUCCUCCCCAAGAGGAGGAAGAUGAACUUCAGUGCAGGUGGCGUAUCCAGAUACGGUGGCACAGGAAAGCAAAACAGGAGUCCUGGCUGUUUGGGACUCCAAAUGUGAGUCACAGUGCCAGAAAUGCUCCGUGUGGCUCCAAAAACCACUUGCUAUUCAUAGCACUAAUGGUGCUUCCACAAGGGAACACUGACCCAGGCAAGAAAUGGAAAGUCCAUCUUCACACCCAGCUCCCCUUUCCUUCCUGAGAGCCUGUAUCCUCCUCCUGUCCUUUCUCCCAUUGUGAAAGCCAGCUGCCAGAAAGGAACUGAUAUCAGUCAUUUACACCUUAGUAAGAAAUUGUGCCAGGGUCAUUUUUCUUGGGGAUAUUUGCAAUUCCAACCUUAUCUGAGUGUGAAGUGAAAGGCUUUGUUCUCCACGACAGGAAUUUCUGGCACCCGUGGACAGGUCUGGGAGGCUAUUCUUUAAGGCAAAGGUGUUUCAAGGCACUUGGGAAGUCACACCUUUUGAUAGCUGACCCUGUCAGCAGGUGAAUGAAUGCCCGGCCAGCCCUUCCUUCCCUCUUGUGGACAUGGCAGCCAACAAUAGCAUAUAUUUUAACGCUGUGUCGUUUGGCUGUCAAGACGCAAGCUAUCCCCAAACUGCUGGGCAGGUUGCUUUCCCAGGGCAGGGGUGCAGGCCUAGAACCAGGCAAAGCGGGUAAUUUGAAGGAUCAGUUGCUACUGCCCUCCUCUGAUUUAUCAGGUCUGAGACACAAGGAAAGAGCACCUCCACUCUUCAGGGAUCUUAAAACAUAUGAUAGGAAAUGUGACUUGGAGGGGAGAAUGAAUGACUGGGAGUGGGCAGCACCUGCCCUCCCCACUCCUCCCAGGGGGCUCUGGAGGAGAAGCCAGACCUGCUCCUCGUGACCCCAGCUCUGCAGGAACAGGCAGGUAAACUUAACGCUAAGGCGCAGAAACAGGCAGCCUCUCAGGUGCCACUCAAGCCAUAUCGUUUUGGCAGUAGAAGGCAGCUUUCUGCUAGAAGUAAAGCUGGCAUUUUGAUGUCCACCUGCCUGUCUGCGGCUGGCUGACUGUGGGCAGGAUGCCCACGGUGGAAGCGUCCCCACUGUGUGUGCACACAUCUUACUCUCAGUUGGUUUUGAAUUCAGGCCAGGAAGUAGGGGGAGACAGAUGGAUGCCCUGAAGCCCCAGCAAAGCCCAGGAGGGCAGAGACUCACAGUCAGCGUCCGCACACACGAUGCAGGGGUUCUUCCCCCCCAGCUCCAGCGUCACCCGCUUCAGAUUGCUCCGGGACGCAGCUUCUUUAACCAGUUUUCCAACCUCCAGGACAGAACACAGAUCACAAUUUACCUUGGAUGUUGCUGAACUUGGCCCAGGCGUAAACAUCAGUGAACAUUCUGAUCAAGCCCGGGUGGCAGUGCCACCACCUGGCUCUCGGCCCAGGCGCUCCAGGCCCCGAUGCCGUCCCUUCACUGUCCUGGCCUCUGCCAGCAUCUCCUCCCAUGCCAGACCAUGACAUCCUGGGAUCCUUGGUCUAAGCCGCUCCACUUACAGGUGUGAGUUAGAGCCUCUGGAAGCCCACACAGCUGGCUGGGAACAGGGCUGCCACCCGCUAACCUGUCCUGGUGCCUGUCCUUCUGAGCCCAGCAGGCUGGUCCAGCCAGUCUGGUAAAGGGCUUCAGGGACCGCAGGGUGACUCUUCUACCUCUCACUAGAAACAGCUGAAAUUCCAACAGCCCAGUAGGGGGGUGGUUCUGUGUGGCUCUUUGGUGUGAUCUGAGGGAACCUCCAAGUGUUAGAGAAGUAGCGAGGGCAGCCAGCCUUCCGGAUGAGAAGGAGCCGAUUCUCUGGAAACACACUCUAAGACUGAGGCUGCCGCAGACAGGCAGGGAGUGAAGGGGUGCGCUAUGAGCAGAAAAGCCACUCACCAGUCAUGCUCAAGGCCCCCACGGGGUCUCUCCCAUUGCCCACUGUACCCCUGGAGGGGAGGGCUGGCCCAGCAUGACUCGGUGACUUAUCUAGGGCAACAAGUAAAGCCCAGCACCACGAACUUCAGAGCUGGGAAGAUCCUCAGAGACCAGUGCAGACACGGAGGCCUAGAGCCAGAAGCUAGCAAGGCGCGGCCCAGGCUCUUCCGGGUCUGAGACUGUUUUCUCCAAUGCUAAGGUGUGAGCGCAUUUUAAACAUCAGCAAGCUCAUGGGUGAUGGCUGAAUGAGGUCUGGAAUCCAUCCACAGGGCAGUGUCUGUCUCCAAGGAGAGUAACAGCAUCCACCAGGGCUUGGACUAACUAAGGAGGGGGAUGGGGACACUGAUUGCAGCGGGUGUUUUUUUCUUUUUUAAGUACAGAAGAAAUACUUUCUCAUUAAAAGUAAUUCCACAUAGAGAUGUAUGUGAAUUACAGGGAGAAAGCCUUCAGCUUCCCUCCGGCUCUGCCCCGAGCCCACCCCAUAGGUGGCCAUCAGUAAGGAUUUCUUGGGAAUCCUUCCAGAUAAUUUCUACUUCUACAAGCACACACCUCUACGAAUGGGAAAAUAUUGUGGGUAAUUUUCUACCGUUUGCUGUUUUGUGCUUCAACAAUAGAUCAUGGACAGCUUUCCUUGUUGUAACGGCUGUAAAACAUUCCAGAGAAUGAAUAUAAUAUCCUUGAAAAUAUGUCCCUGAAGCCUCAUGAGAAAAUUUCUCUAAGUAGUUUUUUCUUUUUUUGAAAUGGAGCUUCUGAAUCGAAAAGUUUUUCACUUUAAAUGUUGGAUGAGUGCUACCAAAACACUGUGCAUCUUAGGGCAAGUGUCGCUGAGCACCUGCUUCCCCAUAUUCUCAGCAGUAUCAUUUCAGUUCUUAGCAAUCUGGCAGGCAAAAGGAAAGUCUGAUUUUGUUUGAAUUUGCAUUUUCCUGAUUACCAGCAAACUAGUUUAAGCUUAAUGGGCACGUCGUAUUUCUAUUCUCUGAACUGCCCAUUUUUCUACCAUUCAGUUUGGUUUUUUUUUUUCAUUGACUUGUAGGAGCACUUUGCAUAUGACGGAUAUAAAUUCUUGGAGCACUGCAUGCAUCACGACUAUUUUUCUCUGAGCUUGUUAUUUAUCUCUUAAUCUUAAUUAUGGUGUUUGACAGAUGAAUAUUUUACAUUUCUACUUUAUCUUAUCUCUCAAUCUUUUCUUCUAAGGCUUCUGAGUUCUAUUAGAUAUUUAUUUAGUUUGGAAACUAGACCAGUGACUUUUUUUAACUGGUUGUUAUGUACUAAAACAUGGUCAAAUUUAGAAGAAAAACAAAUCAUAUUAAAGCCUGUCAAAGGAAAAGCUCACGGGUGUCAAAUAACACGCCCCUUUCACUUUCCCCAGCACCCUGUGAGGAGGGUUACCUCUGUGGAGCCGGUGAAGGCGAUCUUGUUGAUCUGAGGGUGAGAAGAAAUUGCUGCUCCCACUGUGGGCCCGAAUCCUGGCACAAUGUUCACCACUCCUGGAGGGAACCCGGCCUGGGAAGAAAUCAAGAUAGCACUUGAAGAAGAACGGACUUCAUCCACCACGGAUCCACAUUUGGGCCGAGAGAGCCGUGGCUGCCUCACAUCCCCACAGGGAACCCGGGCCGGGCUGGAUUUACCCAGGACCCAGAAGCAGUUGACCGUGGGCACCCUGGGAGCUGACCUGGGCUUCUCAUCCCCUGCUGCCAGCCCAGUGUGCAGGCUGGGCAAGGGGAGAUGCCCACUUCUCCUUCUGGGGGGGGACCCCAUCCCAAAGUGAUAUGCAGUGCAAAUGUGUGGUUAUGCUUCAAGGUGGCCAUGGCCCGCCUGUAGCACAGCACCUUUCCAUGUGGGGUGUGUGUGUGUGUGAGGGAGAGUGUGUGUAUGCGUUAAGGGGAGAGGGGUACCUUGAUCAGAAUGCCCUGCCCAGGAUCAGAGGCACCUGCAAAAUAUCUGCCAAGAGCUUCAGUUUUGUUUUUUCUUCUUUUUUUUUUUUUUGAGAUGGAGUCUUGCUCUGUCGCCCUGGCUAGAGUGUAGUGGCGCGAUCUUGGCUCACUGUAAGCUCCGCCUCCCAGGUUCACGCCAUUCUCCUGUCUCAGCCUCCUGAGUAGCUGGGACUACAGGUGCCCGCCACCACGCCUGGCUAAUUUUUUUUUUUUUAAGUAGAGAUGGGGUUUCACUGUGUUAGCCAGGAUGGUCUCGAUCUCCUGACCUCGUGAUCCACCCACCUCGGCUUCCCAAAGUCCUGGGAUUACAGGCGUGAGCCCAGUUUUCAUUUUUUAAUCAGACCCGUUAUUAUUCCAAAUGGUGACAGGGUAUCACUCCCUUAAAGUUCUUUGCUUGUUCAACCUGGGUCUCACCUGGAGCAAGCCCUUCUGGAAGGCAGGGACUGCCACCUCGUUCACGUUCAUGCCUCGUGUUUUUCAUAUACUAAGCCUCUUUAUCAGGCGAGAACACAAAACAAACGAGGUGGAGGAUGCUCUUCCCCACCUGUGCUGAGUCUUACUUAGAACACAUUAUUUCAGAAAAUCAAGAUUUUAGGCACGCUGCUUGAGUCUUUAGAUUUUUAGGCACUGUUUCUUAACAGUUGGGAUUUUCACAUUCCUAAGUCUCACCAGUGUGACUUAAUUAUGCCCCACAUCACCAAAGGAAAGUGGAAAAUUGGCUCAUCACCAGCUGUUCCCACCUUGCUUCUAAGCAACUGUGGACCUGCCUGCCGGUCAUAUCAGCCCGACUAAGAAGAGAAAGGAAUGGAUCUUUUCUUCUGUCCCUCUUUGCUUCCUGUUGCUUUCUCUAAAUCUUUGCUCCAUACAACCUGGGGAUGGAAUGACUAAAGGUAUGUCUGGAAGGAGGUGUCCCAUUGAGCCUCUGUUUCCCUAAGUUCUGGCUGCCUGAGGGAGAAGAGAUUGCAUUCAGAGCAGAGGGCACUGAUUAGCAGGGACCCGGCACACGGACUGCUGCAGCCGCCCAGCUAGAGCUGACGAGGCCACCUCUCCAGAGAAAAAUGGACCAUUUCAUAAACUGAGAAUGCAAAUCCCAGAGAACCUCCCAAAUAUUUGGCUCCCUCUUGGUUGACCCCCCCUGAAAAUUCUCUAGACAAACCACUGGGUCCUCAACCAUAGGUUUGAGCCCAUAAUAAGAGUUAAGCAUUCUCAUUAGGACCACUGGGAGGAAUGGAGUUUCUCCAGCUCAGUGGCCACAAGCAGGAGAAAGAACGUGCAGUCGCCAAACAAAACACUGGAAGUCAUUCCCUUCCCACUCGAUUGCCAGCAGUCUGCCACUGUCCCAUCUCGUGACGGUGGCCUGGUUCCUAGGAGUGGGAAUGUUACCAAGAACAUGUGAUAUUUUCUUUUUGGAUGUCUCACCUCUUUGAUCAGAGAGCCGAGAUAAAGGGCGGUGAGAGGUGUCUGCUCCGCAGGCUUCAGGACCAUGGUGUUCCCACAGCAGAGGGCGGGUGCCAGCUUCCACACCAGCAUCAGCAGGGGGAAGUUCCACUGCGACAGAGCACAGGGGCUUUGGAGGCCCAGAUCCACCCUCUUACCCUGUCCCAUGUGCUCAACGAUGCCUUUGUGGAGGACACUUGCUUUUCAUGGUCUGGAUUUGGGGUAUGUGGGGUAACAUAGGAGUGUGCAAUGAUCAGAACUGCAAUCCUGCACAGCACUUCCUAAACUGCAUUCUGGGUGGUACUAAUAGGCAGCCUUUGCAAAGAGGAUGCUGUUGCAUGUGUUCUACCUCUCCCUCUAAAACAUCUGCUGAAGACGUGUCCUCCUCCCUGCCUCCAUGGGCACUUUUUGAACCCUCACUUCAUGUUGCCACCUGGCUCUUCAGCUUCCUGCCUGGCUGUUGUUGCAAUGGCCAGAGGCUUCCCAAACAGACAGGCAGCAUUGUUGCACUUCUUGGGCACCUAUAAGCAUCCCCACCGCCCAAUGAAUAAAGUCCCGGCCCCUUAGCAGCCAAAGCUGCUGGAAGCUGGCCCACACCACCUGCCACGUGUGCUCACCCUUUUCCUCACUUUUGCUCCUGCCUGAGCUCUAGCCCCACCAGCUUUCCUGCUGUUCCCUUCCAAGUAGCCCAGCCACCUCUGCACUUUUGCCUAGGCCAUUCCCACUCCUUGGAAAAUCCUUUUCCUUGUUGAACAAGUCUUUCUUAUCUUUAAGGCCCAGCUAAGAGACCACCUUCCUGGGAAUGCUGGCCAUUCCUGACCACUCUGGCUGGGAACCACAGUGCUUUCUGUGGCAUGCCUAAAGCCGGUCUUAGGAGAGCAGAAAUGGGGUCUAAUCCAUCUCAAGAGCCCCCAAGCAUGGAGUUCCAUGCCACGAAGAAAAUGCUUGUUCAACGCUGGUGCAAUCAGAUAAAAACACACCAGAAAUUGAUUCCAAAGGACACAGGGCAGUGGGGCAGGAUCUACAUAGAAUCUACUGAGAAAGGCUGCCAUACUUACUGGAGUGAUGGCCCCACAGACACCAAUGGGCUCAUGCCUGGUGAAGCACACGACGUUGUCAUCUGGAAGAGGGUUACAUGGUGGGGAAGGACACACUCACUUAGUCCAGGUUAGGAACUUCAAGUAGUAAAAAGACAAGAAAGAAACCAACAAGGGUGCCAGAUUCAAGUCUUGUCUAUUAUACAGAGAAGUGAUUUGACCUCAACUUUAAAAGUGAAGUUCUUAGAAGAAGAAUUGGCAGUACCAUUUGGAGAGGGAGUGGGGUUGGGAAUGGUGCCUUAGGGAAACAGUCAGGGGGGGCUCUGGAUUAAUGAAAAGAUAUAGCCCCAAAGGGAUCCCAAAUGAAGCUAUAAUCCACCUUGCUCACCUGUGGGGAUGGUCUUGCCCUGGAUUUUGUCUGCCCACCCUGCAAAGUAUCUGAGGGUUCUAAUACAGCCCUCCAGGUCGAUGAAAAAAGCAUGAAGAAAUGGCUUCCCUGUAUCCAUCGUCUCCAGGGCCUGCAAUAACAAGAUGAUGUCUGUUUCGGACAUAGCUUGCUUUUCUUUUGCACUGUCAGGUUGUUAAAGAUGGAAGUUGGGGAGAGAACACAGUCCUAGGACAUUGCUCUGUAGACCUCACAGUCAGAUGCACCUCUUCAGAAAGCAUGACACCAAAUGUAAAGCGAGGCCUGUCUCUGAGUGUGAGGAUUGCUUUUAUUUCAAAACACCUAAAGUGGGCUGCAGGGUGGUGGGCUAAAACAUAGACAUGCACCCUCUUUGAAGGGCCCCUUGGAGGCCAGGCGGAUUUAAAGCUGUGCUGGGAAGGAACGCACACUGGCAUCUGAUCUUCCAUCUGUAGCACAGUGGCCUCUGCUGUGUGGCCAGUCGUGUGUGCUUGUGUGUUCCCAGGAAGCUCUCUGAAGGUUAGCUGGCUCUGGGGUGGCUGCAGUGGGAGCUGCCCUCCUCGAACAAAAGAGAAAGAGAAGAUGUAGGCUCUUCCUUCUCGGCCAGGCUGGCCAGUGUGGCUGUGGAAAGUGACUGAGCCGAGAAGGGUCGCGCCCCCAGCACAAAGAUGCAAUCCUUCCCUCCUGCACUGCAGAGCCCGGCCGGCCGGAUGCAGAGUCGGAAGGGAGCAGACUGCCCUGCUGGUGAGGGAGGUGAUUACCCAGGGCGAGUGUGCAGCCACUCAAUGGCAGGGAUUCUUUUCUAUUUCCAGCCGGGGUGGAAGAGAACCCCUUUGUCCCUCAGACAAGUGGCCCCAGUUGAGCCCAGCGCUGAAACCGCCAGUCAUCCGCCUCUGCAGGAAGUGGCCGCCCUGACACAUAGCCCAGGGCUGGAUUCUUGUGGAAGAGUCAGUGGAGUGAGAUGGUGAUUGAAAAAGGAAGAAGGCCCCUCCUCAGAUCCAGGGCUUUAACCCCAGCGCACUCCCCGAUGUCUCACCCUUUGAGCUCCAUGACUGCAUUCCCACUUCAAGGUGCAGGCACGGACGCUAACGGCCCAGUGACUUGGCCAAGGCCACCCAGUAAUGCAGCAGCUGAAUUGGGGGCAUCUACUUCUGGCCAGCACAGCGACUGGCCUUUACAGGCUGCUCCUGGACAGGUGUGUCUGGAAAGACUGCAGGGCAGCCACUCCGGAUGCUCGGGCUACCCCAGCUCCCCUUUGCUUCAGGAAUGAGCCAAGCCCCCUUUAAAUAGGAGGCAACUACAUCUGCUGAACCCUAGUUAAGUAAGUGGGCCUUGGGUAAGUCCCUGAAUCACUCCUUGCCUCAGUUUCCUCAUCUGUAAAAUAAGAAUAAUAACGGUUCCUACCUCACAGGGCCAGCGUUAGAGUGAAAGGAGUCAGUGUCCACAGAGCAGCAACCACAGUGCCCGCCCAUGGUGAGUGCUGGAUUGGUGUUCACAUGAGAACACUGAUGAUUACACUGACUAUCAUCAACUUCCCUUUAGGCACCAGAGAAGGGCUUGGCGAUCCUCACCUGGGGACCCAGACAGCGCACUGGGUUGCUAAAGACCACAGGACUGGUCUAGCUUGGGGUGUGUGUUCUGCCCCCAGCAGCUGCCACUCAGGGACUGAGUCAGGCCAGUGUGACAUCAAGUAUACUCUAGUGUUGGUUCCUAUAGAUUUUCACUCAAGCGUGAACUUUCAUUUUUCCAGGGGAAGCCUAGCAAUUGCAAAUAGUGCAAAAAGGCCUCUAAGACUGACCUAUUCCAGACAGUAUCUGCAUAUCUGUCAGUGGAAUUGCAAGUUUAUUCUUUGCUCUUUUCUGGGAUGGAACAAGAGAGAGGACUUCAACAUCCAGCACUGAGGGUAAGCGCGAGACAUGGAGCCAAGAUUCUGCCUCCAGUCCUGGAUUACCACCUCUGGCUGGGUGACCUAGGACAGGUUACUUAACCUCUCUGGGCCUCAGUUUCUCAUCUCUGAAAUGAGAUAAUAAAUCCUACAGGUCAACAAGCCAGGUACAUGGCGAACAUUCAGCCAGCAUUGCUAUUUGUUUUUAUUGUCAACUUCAGCAAGUUUGCUUACUGGAGUGACAACAUGAAUUUACCAGGUUAGUUUUAUGGAAUUUCUCUGAGCAAAACCCAGGUCAUGAUAGGUUUAGACGGGAAAUUAUUAAAAAAAAUUAUGCAGGUGAGUGAGUCCAAGUGCUCGCUACAGAUUGAAACAGUCAUCCUUUAAACAACUUGUUACUGUGGCUCAAUCAUGAGUAAACCAUAGCCACUCCUAAGUUUAUUUCCUUUAACAUUUUAAGAGGAAAAUGUGCCUCCUGAGAAAUUAACACAUCAGAACCCUCAGAUACUAAAGAAUGACGGGAAGUGCCAGGAAAACAGCACGGCAGGGCUUACAACGAGAGGACCCAGAAAUGGCACUUGGGGUGAAAAGGAGAGUGGAUAGGGAGGGCUUCCGUUUGGGAGCUCCCAAAAUGAGCGCCCAAAGAGCAGAGUUGGGGCCUGGGUGCCCCAGCAAAGGAAAGCCAUCCAGGGGCCGCUGGAUCCCCCACAUCUGUUUCCAGACACUGAGCACAGAAAUAAACACCCAGCUCUGUCAAACCACUGAGCCGGCAAGAGAACACGCUCCAUGAACAUGCACGGAAACCAUAUCGAGGUGGAGAGCAAGGGGCGCUCUCCUGUGAUGUGGUUGGAGUUUUAAAAACCGUGUUUGCCAGUAAUUCUCUUGUCCCUUUCAUGUUGUGGCAAAGAGCUGGAUCUUAUUUCUCGUGGGCUGCGAGGUGCCAGUGGCAGAAGUGAUUUGCUGGGUUUGCAUUCUGAGAUCCUCCAAAGCUGUCUGCUAUCAAAACACAGUCGUGCCAGGACAAUGGGGCAGCCUGAAGAUGAAGGUGGCUUUGUAGCCUCUGCUCCUAAGAUGAUACUGACACUUAAGGACAGGGUUCAGGGCGGGGGGUGCCCAGGGCACAUCCUCUCUAGCCUGCUAUUAGUCCACACGGACAUUGCCGACCGAUGAGCUCAUGCCGGGUGAAAACAGAAAUGUUUUUGAAAAAGCCAGUUUGGCAGCUUGAGGGUUGACGCUGGCUUACGUUGCAGGAAGAAACCAGAGGCUCCUCAGAGAGAAGCGCUUACCCUGGGAGGGAGCUACUCUCACCCGGGGAACAUGUGGACUGGCCGGGCUGACUGGGAAGGAAGGAAGGGGAGCUCGAGUUUCUGUGUGGAUGCACCCUUAGGGAAAUGCACCCAAGAGUACGGCCUGAGAGUUCCUCCACCCUGAGAAACACAUUCAGGGGCAACAGCAAUUUCCGUGUCCUGGCUGACACCCUCCUUUAAACAGUGGCUACCCUACUGCUUGUUCCCGACAUCAGAAAAACCAUUUUUCCAAAUCAAAGGCCAGAAAGGAGAUCUCCUCCCCUACAACCGGGCCUCAAGGUUUGGAACAACUUUUAAAAACAAGAGGCUGAGAUGGGCAAGGACAGGAUGCAAAGGACCUCAUGGCCCAACGUGGCCCUGAGAUGUCCUCUGAUCACUCCCUCAUGACCAGAGGAGGGUCUGAGGAUCCUGCUAAAAAAUGGACUUACAACUGAUGAAUGCCUUGGCAGCUCAGCCUCAUGGGGUAUGCUCCAUCAAUAUCCCCACCUAGGGUAUCUAGAAAUUACUGGCCAGCAGUGCAUGUAGGUGAGGUUAGAAAAUGGGUCUUCACAUGACCUCAUUAUGAUAACUGCUAUUAUUAAUGAUAGCUGUCAUCUAUUUAGUGCUUACUGCCUGCCAGGGACUCUGCCUAGAAUCUUAAAUAGAUCAUUCUUACACCACUGAGUUAUCAUUAUCGGUGACAUUUUACAUGAAGAAAUAAAUCUCAGAGAGGUUUCACAACUUGUCCAAAGUCACACAGCUAGUAAGUGGCAGAGUGGGGAUUUGAACCCAGGUCUUUCCUAUUCUGAGGUUUCCUAUAACCAGGCUAUCCUGCCCUCACCACCGCUCCACAUAUGCUCGCUACUAGCCAGUUCAGGGGUGACUGAGGAAUGAUUUUAGGUCACAUGGGAACAAUUUUUUCUAUGUUAAGUGGUGGCAUUUAUUUUGGUAAGUAUUAGAAAAAUAAAAUUAGCACAUCAAACCUGUGAUUUCAUGAAUAUUGUUUCUUAGGAUGAGAUUAAACUUAAGUUUAAAAGGGAGUUAAGGCUGGGUGCAGUGGCUCACAUCUGUAAUCCCAGCACUUUGGGAGGCCAAGGCCGGUAGAUCACCUGAGGCCAGGAGUUCGAGACCAGGAGUUCAAGACCUGGCCAACAUGAUGAAACCCUGUCUCUGUUACAAAUAUAAAAAUUAGCCGGGCAUGGUGGCAGGCACCUGUAGUCCCAGCUACUCAGGAGGCUGAGGCAAGAGAAUCAUUUUAACCUGGGAGGCAGAGGCUGCAGUGAGCCGAGAUCGCGCCACUGCACUCCAGCCUGGGUGACAGAGGGAGACUCUGUCUCAAAAAAAUAAAUAAAAUAAAAUAAAUAAAAGGAAGUUUAUACAAAAAAGAAAAAAGUUAAGUACAUAAACACACAGGUGGUACCAGGAUAUGGCCCAGCUCAUGGUCACCAAUCUGUGAGUGCCCCAAGUCUGAGACCACUGAUGUAGCUCAACUGCCUAUAGACAACAACUUGGUCAAGAAGCUGAGCUGCAGAGGACAAAAGUCUGACUUCAAAAUGAAAGGGAUUCAGUCUAGAGGCAUUAACACCUGCAAGUAUUGCCAGAGAGCCGUGUCUCAGAGGAUGGAACAGACCCACGACCACACAAAACCAGGACCGUGAUCUUUUUUCCCAUACCCCAUGGUGGACAGGACCCUCAGUGAGGCUGGCUCAUCCCCCACCGGCCCCCAAGUGCAUGUACUCACGGCCAAGGUGGCGCGGUCCCUCUCCACCAGGUCAGCCAGCUGGUGCAGCAGCCGCCCACGACUCAGGGCAUCCAGCCGGCGCCAUGGCGAGCCCCUCUGGAAGGCAACCUGUGCAGCCUCCACAGCCUUGUCCACGUCGGGCUGAGCGACCAGAACAACAGAGAGAGACUGUCAUCUUUUGACGUGACUGCAGUUUGGGUGUCAUCUUUUGACGUGACUGAAGUUUGGGUGUCAUCUUUUGAGGUGACUGCAGUUUGGGUGUCAUCUUUUGACGUGACUGCAGUUUGGGUGUCAUCUUUUGAAGUGACUGCAGUUUCGGUGUCAUCUUUUGAGGUGACUGCAGUUUGGGUGUCAUCUUUUGAGGUGACUGCAGUUUGGGUGUCAUCUUUUGACGUGACUGCAGUUUGGGUGUCAUCUUUUGAGGUGACUGCAGUUUGGGUGUCAUCUUUUGACGUGACUGCAGUUUGGGACCACGGCCAUCAGUUAUAGAGAACAGCAGAUUGUCCCGCUGGCAGACAGGCUGCAAGCAGCAGCAUGUUUUUCAAUCACUUGAAUGGCUGGGAGCGUUCAAGUGAUUUUUUUUCUUCUUUACAUCUUAAUAUUUCUACAGUGGCCAAAUACCAAUGUUUGUUUCUGAUUAUAAAAAGCAUUUAAAAAUAUUUCCUAAAGAGUAUUUUUCUCAGGGACCCAAGUACGGAAGGACUUUCCACUGGCUGCCUCAGUGUGAACGCACACGAGCCUGCUGUUCACAGAUCAGGUGGGAAGUGUCUGCCUGGCAUUUGAUCCCAGCUGGGAACUUGUGGUCCAAGAGUGAGAAUGGGGAAAUUCCUUCCUUUCUGGAUUGCAGAACUGACCAUCGUGGAACAGUUCGCAGACAGGGAGGAGCAUGAAGGCCGUUUUUCUCCCUUCAGCCUCACCCACCCCAUGGGAGCAGAACUGGAUCUUUUGUGCACUGAUAGAAUAAUCACAACGGAACCUUCUUUCUAAAAGGAAAGAAGUGAGGGCCAUUUAGAGUAGUGUCACUGUCUCUUUUUCUCAGGAAAAUGGGCCACAUUCAUCUCGAAGGCCCCUCCAUGCCUCUCUCUUUCUAGGAAGGUACAGCAGGGAGUGGAUGUGGGACACCAGUCAGGAGUGACUCUACCGAGUCUCUGUGUGUCCAGAGCUGGCUUGGGGGUGAGCAGAAGCUUGGCAGGGGAGAUGUGGGACACUGAAUUUCUUCUCCCAGGCUCUGGGGUGGAGGCCAGGACCUUUCCAGCUGCAGAGGGUGUGGUGGCCUCUGGCUCAGAACAGUCACUCAGACCAAGGGAGAAAUCAAGGCCCAGGGCAAGGGUCUCGUUCUCCUCCUAGCACCUGUACGGGGCACUUGGGAGUCUCCUAGUGGAAACCCCAUUCCAUGUCAUGGCUUCCCCCCAAUGCCCUCACAUUUUUCUAUGAGCUCCUCUGUGCCACUUUCUUUGUUAGCAGAGCCUAACUGUCAUGAGGUGCCACACAGAGGGGGGUCUGUAUAGGUGGGGCCAGUGUGCAUUUGCACGUCUGUCACAAAAACUCAUGGGCAAGAUAAAAUCCAAGCCUACUCUGCACACGCCCUUCACUGCAUCCACUUCCAACGUCAUCAGUUUGCUGACCAAGAACAUCAGUCCAGCACUCCAGCAGCUAAGGAAACAUUUACAUCUCCCUGCCCUCAGUGGAAGGGCUUUACCUCUGCACUGACAUUCAGAAUAGAUUUGAUGGCCUUGCAAUGUAUAAAGGACACAUUCGGAAGUCCCUUAGCUUCUGUAUUACUAUAUAGACCUUGCACUUGCAAAUAGAGUGAUAAAGGUUACCGCUUUCCAUGCUCAUGUAAAUUUCUAGGAGAAAAGAAAUCUGGUGGUUACAUUGUUAACUAUCCCCGCAUCACCCGGGUAGCAACUAUUUUUUUUCCUUCAAAGUGUCUAUUUUUUUCUAAAGUGUCUUCUGCCAGAAAGCUUCAUUUCGUGAAACACACCAGCGGGAAAUGCUUUCUGGAAAGAUUCUUUAAUGCCUCCAGGUCCAAAUAAUUGAUAAAAAAAAAAAAAAAAGAAAAAAGAAAACCUUUCCUUUAGCCAUAUGAUGAGGAUAGCUGAGGUCAUCCUCAUAGUAGGAGAAACAUCUAUCAAGGGAGAAUGAUUCUCUGCAGAGGAUCAUCGGUAAUUGAUGCCAUUCUGUGCCACACGUCUGAGAACCACAUGCCAAUUCACGCAGCUAGCCCAGGCCCUGCCCCCAGGAUAGGCCAGUUCUGUCUUAUAGCUAAGCCGAACCGUUUCCUUAUCCUUUGGUCAUCCAUAAUUGAAUUACUUAGAGCAAAUUUAUUUUAAGUAUUUACCUUAUCUCCUUCUUCCACUUCACAUAUUUGCUCCCGAGUUGAAGGGUUACAUGUAGCAAACUUUUUCCCACUCUUGGAUUCGUGCCAUUCAUUGUUGAUAAAUAUCUAACCAGGAAAGGAAGUGUAACCAAUUAGGUUUAGAUCAAAAUCAUAUAAUUUCAACAUGCUAAGGACCUUAGGUGACGUCUUAUCCAUCUUGUCCACCUUCCUCUCUGCUGCUUCCCUCUCCCCUUCGACAUCUUAUAGAUGAGACCCGGAGGGGAACAGAGUCCCAGGACUGCAUGACCAACAGAUCAACUAGGACAGACUCGAAAUUCAAGUUUUGGUCAAAUAAAACUAUAGUCACUUAGAGAUUUUUUUCUAAAUUAUUAUUAUUAUCUUCAGCAAUAACAUGGAUUCACAGAGGAAUGGCUAAGUUAAAUGGUUAAAUAGAGGCUGUGAAUGGAAUCUCAUACCCCAAUAGACUUUGGGGGAAGAGUCAAUAGGUUUAUAUACAUAAAAGUCCCAAGCAGUCCGCCUGCCCCUGAAGGGUAAGGACGCACCGAGCACUCCCUUUCUCCUUUCAGUGGCAACACUCAGCAAGAUUGAUUGCCAAGGAGCUCACUUUGAGGAGGAUCUCACCAUCGCCCUUCAGUUUUCACCAAUGCACAUCAGCAUGUCCCUCCCCAGCACAUUCCCCUUAAAAUGUGUAUUUUCAUAGCAAACCACCAUGGCGCAUGUUUACCUAUGUCACAGACCUGCACAUCCUGCACAUGUACCCUAGAACUUAAAAUAAAAGUUGAUAAAAUGUCAAAAAAAAAAAAAAACCCAGAAAAACCUCCGAAGCUUGAUAAUAAACCAGCGUUGAAGUACAAAGUUAAAUGUCUGGGUUAGAAACUUUCCAGGUUACAUUAAGAGAUGUCGCAAAUAACUGUUUAUAUAACCCGCAGAAAUCACUUUUCUGGGAACCUCAAUGAUCCAGAAUGCAGAUGAGAAUGAAAGUUUUUUUGACAAAAGACAUCAUGAGCAGACUAAGAAGAACAUACGAAGUCCAUGCACUGAAACAUAUGUACUAUUUACUGUUAGUUUACACUAAGUUCUAAUUGUCUUAUUAAUGUCAUAUUAAAAGAGAGGGCUUUUGGAAAAAACUAGGAAGAGACAUGACAGACAAUAUACAAAACACAUUCCGACAGCACGGAGGUCCCCGGCUGCCCAGCCAGAAGACACACAAACUCCUGCUACACCAACUUGGAAUGGCUUCCUCAUCACAGCCUAUCACAGCAUCAGAAGAACCCCCGUGGCAGAAAUGGCUGACACGCAUGUCUCUCAAGUAAAAUGCCGUCAGUAAUUUCUGAGUACAGAAUUAGUUCAUCAGGUUCCGUUUUUACAUCUAUCUGCAUGUGGUAUACAUAGCUUUACUUUGCUUCUUUUUGAAUUGUUUAAAGGAAGAAUUGCGUCCCUCAAGGGCUAAUUUCAAUUAUUGUGAAAUUGAUUCAUUUGAAACAUUUGACUCCCCAGUGAUGACAGAUGAGAGAGGGCAGCCAUCUCCUAAGCAUGAGUCUUGGUUACAUUCUCUGUAUUGGGCUUCCUGUAUAAACUCCACAGCUCCGGCUUAAUACCUGGGUGAUGGGUUGAUCCAUGCAGCAAACCACCAUGGCACAUGUUUACCUAUGUAACAAACCUGCACAUCCUGCACAUGUACCCCAGAACUUAAAAGUUGAUAGAAUGUUAAAAAAAAAAAAAACCCACAAAAACCUCUGAAGCUCAUAGUGAGGAAGCCUGGUCUGAGUCGGUUGGGGACCAAGCACAGGAGGCAGACUCUGGCUGGGCAGGUGAGCAGAGACCAGCUGCCCCCCAGUUUGGAAUCCAGAACUGAGAGCAUCGGUCACCAUUGGGAUUUGCCUGUCUGGCUUCUGGAAGCUUAGCGUCUCCAAUGUGAGGCCAGGCCCCCAGGGAAGCGCACCAGGAAAAGGCCAGGCUACAAUUACAGGUUUAUUCUUCCAGCUGAAACUAAAUCCAAGAGUUCACUUUUGCCAUCCAGCAAGUCAUCACUUGGUAACAGCGAGAAAUUAAUAACUGAGGAAGAAGAGUUAAGUUAGUGCGGGGAGGAAAGUGCAGCCAGGAAGAGGGGCCCAUUUGUAGAAAGAUGAAAUUUCGUGGGUUAGAUAAUAGAGACUGUCAGUGAAAAUUGCUGAUUCUAGGUCCUUCCUGGUAUCAACUCCAAGGGGGAGGGAAAAUGAGAAGGUGGCAGAAGAGAAUAUAAAUAAGGGGGCUGAAAACAGAUUACAAUGAUCGGAUGUCUGCUAUACUGCUAUACUUCAUCUCCAAGCAUGCUCCUCCAAAAAAAAUUACUGUUUGUUCAUGACAUUGAUCUGUAACCAGCAACCUUAAAAAAAAAUCAGACUGUUUGACUCUAACCAUAUUUUCCCAUCACUAUGUUUUUAAUUUUGUAAAAUCUUUUACUUUAUACCACACUACAGUAGUAAGUAAUCUUGUAAGUGGUUUCUACUGUUGAUUUUUCUCUCCAUUAAAACAAAACAAAAGCACAAAUAUAAGGAAAGGGUAUAUAAAUAUGGUCUACUGAUUAUGCUGGCUGUAUUGUUUUGAACUCCAAAUCAGGGUAAAGGGUCUAGAAGGAAUUGUUGUCUUUGAUUUGUGGAUUAGCAUACAACAAACCUUAUAGAGGUAUAGCAUUAAGCUACAUUGAGCUGUAGACCUGGUUCACAUUUUACAAAAGGAACAGAAUGACAUGGAAGCAGGACGGAGCUGUAAGGUGUCUCAGGCAGAGGUGAAGAUGACAGUCAUACAAGUGAAUCCUAUUGAUGCCGAUUUCCCGUAACUUCCAUCUGACAACAGGCCACUCAGCUAAACUCAAAAAGAAUAUGUUUUCAGAAAAGGAGAUUUGGGGGAAUUUUAUUUUUCAUAAGAGAGAUAAUAAAAACCGGUGUUUUAAAAAUCAGAAAACUUUGAAGAGAAUCCCUGCUACUGGAAGAAAUUUUAUAAGGAAAGAAAGAGGCCCUCUAAAUUAGAAGGGACUUCUAUCCUCUGAGAUCUGUGUGGGGACCCUGGAGGGGCUCUCAGCUCUCCAGAAUCACACAGCAUGACCCUAGAGAAUGAAAUGUUAACAUGUGAGGACAAAUGAAGGGGCUUUGACAAAGUCAUCCUGAAAGUUGGACCACCCUGGGAAAUGGCACUGCCGGGGCUAGGGCUCAGAUGGACCAACUCUGGUGUGUGCCCCAUUAUCGAGAAGCACCAUGAGUCAAUUUUGGAAAAUAGCAGACCACUGCUGGCUCCCAUGCUCCACCGUCUGCUCUCCUGCCAGGCCACCCACCUGCCGGGCCACUCGCCCACUCUGGGCCUCAGUCCUGCACUUCAGUUUAUCCCGCUCCUUCCCUCGGCAGGCACUCUUGGUGGCCUCACUCUCGGCCGCCUCUCCAGUCCAGUCUCCCUGAGGACUGUGCCAGGGCACUGGUUGGCCACCCUCAGCCACACAAGCUGCCUGGGUCCACAACUGCUAUGGGGAGGUCUCUGCAGAGAUGGGCCAGGAGCCAGGACAGAGCAGGCAGCAGCACAGUCCCCCAACGGGUGAGGAGCCAGCAGCCGGUGUCAGGCAGUUGGGGCCUUUAUCGCCUGGGAGACCACUCAAGAUCCCAGCACUCCAGGCCGAUCCACCAGCUUCCCUCAGCCUCAUUCCUGCACUGGUUCCCUUUAACUGGCAAAGGUUGCGCACCCACCAAGACAACAGGCAACCAUUGCUCUGUGAAUUGUCUAAGGUCUCCAUAAGGGCUACAUCUACACUUUAAAAGUGUCCUAAAAAUCAUAGAGAAAGAGGUAAACUUUUUGUAUGUGGUCAGAUUGCUGAUAGGACUCAAAAACAUAAAAAGUAAAAGGACCAUAAUACAUUUACUGUCUGGUUUCUAUAUACAGUAUUUUGAAAUCCUGUACAACCAAAAGAAAACAAACAACCUCCCCACUUAACCAUC